RNAcentral lists this long non-coding RNA (1123 nucleotides) under Heterocephalus glaber (naked mole-rat). RNAcentral describes it as "lncRNA (ENSHGLG00000045229.1)". The record is from RNAcentral. Lineage: Eukaryota; Metazoa; Chordata; Mammalia; Rodentia; Bathyergidae.
GACUUGUGGAAGUGGAAAAGCACUGGUGAGGGCAGUCUCUGAAAUCAUUUACUCCAGUGUACAAGUCAGCUCUCAGCGGUCCUGGCCUCUCCCAGGAGGCUGUGCGGCCGGCAGGAUGGAUCUUUAGCAUCUCCUACUCCUGGGCUGGCCUGUUCCUUGCCCUGGGUCCUCCCAAUGUGUUGAAUGCCUCAGCUGUCCAGAGGAGCACCACACCCAGGCCUGCCCUCCUCGGAAUGUGGCUGUGACCCGAGAGCAAUGUUUCUGCCCAUCUUUCUGUUUACUUCUCCUAAGCCUCGGUGACCUUAGCAGGAGGCUGAGGUGGGAGAACCACUUGAGCUCGUGAGUUUGACUGCAGCCUGGAGAACACGUACUGGAGAUUGAACCUACCCAGCGCUAGGCAGGCUCUGUGCCACUGAGCUACAUCCCUGACCCCUGCAACACACCCAUAUUUUAAAAAAUGGGCACAGGACUUGAACAGACAUUACUCCAAGUGGCAGGCGAAAACAGUAAGAGGUGGUUUGAUUCUUCCAUUUUGACUCUAGACCACAAACAAUAAAGACUUCCAAGUCUCCUUGGAUCCGUGUAACAGAAAAUUGUUCGAUGUGGUGGGCAGAAGGCCCGGAAGCUGUGGCUGGCCUGGGAGAGUGACUGGCCCGAGCUUCCCCUCCCGACCACCCUGCAGAAGAGAAGUCACCGUCCCUGCAUGGCAGAGCUGUGUUACUACCAAACACAAGUGCGAGGAAGGCUUUUUCUCUGCCAGGGUAACUGCACGGAGCCUUCACUUCUCCCUGCCGUGGACAGCCAGCCGGCCAGGCUCCUCGGAGCUCUCAGUUCGGCCUUGACCUUGGCCCCUGUCCUCGCUAACCGGGUGUGACCCAAGUUUUAGCAAGAAUCUGAUCGAGCUCCAUCUCUCCCCUGUUGUGAUGCUCCUAUUCCAAGAGCCCCAAAUAAAGUCAUCGUUAUUUAACAAGUGUCAAAUUAAUUUUUGAAUACAUUUCAGCAGGAAGCUUAGAGGUUUUAAAAUUUUUUUAGCAUUGCAGAAGCAACAGUUGGGGGAGUGGGUCAUAGUUACUGGCAUAGUAGCCAAUAAUCUAGCCAACCAUUGAACUGUGUUCUGGUAAAU